This 65-nucleotide transfer RNA is filed under the name Reinwardtoena reinwardtii. Its description in RNAcentral is "tRNA-Ser". Lineage: Eukaryota; Metazoa; Chordata; Aves; Columbiformes; Columbidae. The record is from RNAcentral.
AAGGAGUCGAACCCUCGUACGCUGGUUUCAAGCCAACCGCAUCAAACCGCCUAUGCUUCUUUCUU